Molecule: ribosomal RNA, 494 nt
Filed under: uncultured bacterium
Lineage: Bacteria
Description: partial 16S ribosomal RNA
Rfam family: Bacterial small subunit ribosomal RNA
Source: RNAcentral
GACGAACGCUGGCGGCGUGCUUAACACAUGCAAGUCGAACGGAAAGGCCUGCUUUCCCUUGUGGAUUGCGGGUACUCGAGUGGCGAACGGGUGAGUAACACGUGAGUGAUCUGCCCCCAACUUGGGUAUAAGCCUGGGAAACUGGGUCUAAUUCCCGAUAGGACUGCAGGGUGGUGCCUGUGGUGGAAAACGAUUUUCUAGUGGUUGGGGGUGAGCUCGCGGCCUAUCAGCUUGUUGGUGGGGUAAUGGCCUACCAAGGCGGCGACGGGUAGCCGGCCUGAGAGGGUGGACGGCCACAUUGGGACUGAGAUACGGCCCAGACUCCUACGGGAGGCAGCAGUGGGGAAUAUUGCACAGUGGGCGGAAGCCUGAUGCAGCGACGCCGCGUGGGGGAUGACGGCCUUCGGGUUGUAAACUCCUUUCGACCGCGAGGAAGCCACCUGGUUGGAAGGGUGGUGACGGUAGUGGUAGAAGAAGCACCGGCUAACUACGUG